This 364-nucleotide RNase P RNA is filed under the name Solirubrobacterales bacterium. RNAcentral describes it as "RNase P RNA component class A". It matches the Rfam family "Bacterial RNase P class A". From Rfam's summary of the family: Ribonuclease P (RNase P) is a ubiquitous endoribonuclease, found in archaea, bacteria and eukarya as well as chloroplasts and mitochondria. Lineage: Bacteria; Bacillati; Actinomycetota; Thermoleophilia; Solirubrobacterales. The record is from RNAcentral.
CUUGCGGGUCAACGCGAUCGCGGGGGAGGUAUCCCUCGAGGAAAGUCCGGACACCAAAGGGCAAGGCGGUGGGUAACGCCCACCCGGGGAAACCCGCGGGAAAGUCCCACAGAAACACACGGCCGAUGGCGCCCUCGGGCGCACAGGCAAAGGUGAAAUGGUGCGGUAAGAGCGCACCGGCGCUGCGGUGACGCAGCGGCCGGGCAAACCCCGCCCGGUGCAAGGCCAAGCAGGACCGACGACCCGGCCCGGCGAGGUUCAGGUAGGCCGCAGGAGCGCGGCGAACGUGCUCCCUUCGGGACGCAGUCCCGAUGAGAUGGAUGGUCGCGCCAGACAGGAUCCGGCUUAGCGACCCGCUAAAGAG